RNAcentral lists this ribosomal RNA (912 nucleotides) under uncultured archaeon. RNAcentral describes it as "bacterial SSU rRNA". It matches the Rfam family "Archaeal small subunit ribosomal RNA", at positions 1 to 923 of the family's 1478-position model. The record is from RNAcentral.
UUCCGGUUGAUCCCGCCAGAGGUCACUGCUAUCGGGGUUCGAUUAAGCCAUGCGAGUCGAGAGGGUUCGGCCCUCGGCGUACUACUCAGUAACACGUGGAUAACCUGCCCUAAGGGAGGGGAUAACCUCGGGAAACUGAGGAUAAUACCCUAUAGGUUACAGACGCUGGAAUGCCCUGUAACCGAAAGCUCCGGCGCCUUAGGAUGGAUCUGCGGCCGAUUAGGUUGUUGUUGGGGUAACGGCCCAACAAGCCGAUAAUCGGUACGGGUUGUGGGAGCAAGAGCCCGGAGUUGGAUUCUGAGACACGAAUCCAGGCCCUACGGGGCGCAGCAGGCGCGAAAACUUUACAAUGCGGGAAACCGUGAUAAGGGAACCUCGAGUGCCUGUAUAUGCAGGCUGUCCAGGUGUCUAAAAAACACCUGAAGAAAGGGCCGGGCAAGACCGGUGCCAGCCGCCGCGGUAAUACCGGCGGCUCGAGUGGUGGCCACUUUUAUUGGGCUUAAAGCGUUCGUAGCUGGGUUGUUAAGUCUCUUGGGAAAUCUGACGGCUUAACCGUCAGGCGUCUAAGGGAUACUGGCAAUCUUGGAACCGGGAGAGGUGAGGGGUACUUCGGGGGUAGGGGUGAAAUCCUAUAAUCCUCGAGGGACCACCUGUGGCGAAGGCGCCUCACCAGAACGGCUUCGACAGUGAGGGACGAAAGCUGGGGGAGCAAACCGGAUUUGAUACCCGGGUAGUCCCAGCCGUAAACGAUGCGCGUUAGGUGUAUCGGUGACCACGAGUUACCGAGGUGCCGAAGGGAAACCGUGAAACGCGCCGCCUGGGAAGUACGGUCGCAAGGCUGAACUUAAAGGAAUUGGCGGGGGAGCACCACAACGGGUGGAGCCUGCGGUUUAAUUGGAUUCAACGCCGGAA